AUUGAACGCUGGCGGCAUGCUUUACACAUGCAAGUCGAACGGCAGCACGGGUGCUUGCACCUGGUGGCGAGUGGCGAACGGGUGAGUAAUGCAUCGGAACGUAUCCAAUAAUGGGGGAUAACGCAUCGAAAGGUGUGCUAAUACCGCAUACGCCCUGAGGGGGAAAGUGGGGGAUCGUAAGACCUCACGUUGAUGGAGCGGCCGAUGUCAGAUUAGCUAGUUGGUGAGGUAAAGGCUCACCAAGGCGACGAUCUGUAGCUGGGCUGAGAGGACGACCAGCCACACUGGAACGGAGACACGGUCCAGACUCCUACGGGAGGCAGCAGUGGGGAAUUUUGGACAAUGGGCGCAAGCGUGAUCCAGCCAUGCCGCGUGAGUGAAGAAGGCCUUCGGGUUGUAAAGCUCUUUCGCAAGGGAAGAAACGAUUCAGGAUAAUACCCUGGGUUAAUGACGGUACCUUGAUAAGAAGCACCGGCUAACUACGUGCCAUCCGCCGCCGUAA
This 502-nucleotide ribosomal RNA is filed under the name uncultured bacterium. Its description in RNAcentral is "partial 16S ribosomal RNA". It matches the Rfam family "Bacterial small subunit ribosomal RNA", at positions 30 to 523 of the family's 1533-position model. The record is from RNAcentral.